GUGAAUUGAAUGCACUGGUUGAGUUUUAAGCCUGGUUUAAAUUCACUAUACUCGAUUUUUUAUAUUUUACUUUGAAGAAAUAUUACCCUACUUUUAAUUUUAAUCAUGGUUUUAUUUAUUUAGAUUCAUCAUUUUUCAAAACAUCGGAAGCCUGAAAAUGCAAACAUUUAGUCUAUCUGGGACAUGCUCGAUAACUUGCUACUGGCGUGCUUCCAUUUGACAAUGCUUCUGAAAUUAUUGCUGUAAAAUGCUUGGUCCUCUUAAAGAAAAUGGCAAUGCAUGGAUCAAGCACAGCACAUGGAUGUAAUAACACUAAUAACUCUGUAUCAAAAAAGAAAAUGAGACCUUGCAGCAUGCCUGCUUGGUAUUCAAAAACCGUUUGGCAAUUAAAUAACCAACUAACGUUCUGGGGAUUGGUAUAAUAGAAUUCUUGUAUAUAAUUGCAAGUUAUUUUCUUACAGAAUGAUAAGAAUAACAGAAAAAUUGAAACAAUGGCAGAAUAAUGUUAAUGUGACAUUUGUUUUCAUUAAUAUUAGAGAUGGUAAGUGAUAAAAAACAAUAGUGUUGAUAGCUUAUUUGCCUAGUUGCAAAUGCUAAUAAGCUUAUUUAGGAAGGAGAGAAAAGGCAUACACGUAGAAAUAUUGAUGGAUUACUCAGGAAGUAAUAAGAAGUCCGCUCUAUUAUUGCUUCUUAGAUAGCAAUGUAUUUAAUACAUUCAAAUAGUGGCUGCAACUUCUGUGGGGAAUAACACCAUGGAGAUUGCAUAGAUUUUUUCUGAGAUUAGCGUCAUCUUUAACGCAAGAGAUUUGGGAACAAACGUUACCGUUAUGCUUUAUCGUUUAGAAAGCUUUUCAUCCACCACUCUGGGAAUGUCGGUAAGCGUAAAUCAAAUGAUUCUGCCUUUACAGUAAAGUUUCUACAGUGACGUGAAGUUGUAUCAAUAUUCAAGUAUAUAGCCAAGCAAAGCAGUUACAUUAGCAGUAAUCCAAAAUCAUCUUAAUGAUGAAACAAAACGAGCAUAGCCUGGUAAAGCGGCUUCUAAAAUAUACACUUCCCCCGGAAACUAUGGAUUUCGCCAGAUGGCGUUAAACCUGUCAGGCAAAGCACUCUAGCGGAGUCCAUAUUUGGACUGUAAGUUCAUAGUUCAGUAAUACCGAGGAAGAGCUGCGCAUGGAACAGCUCAGAUGUCUGUAAACUUAUUAUGCAAGUAUUUGAAAACCUUAUUAAUUGCUUCUUAAUAACAAAAUAUUUAAUACAGUCCAAUAGUGUCUGUGACUGCUGUGGGGAAUGAUACCAUGGAGAU
Molecule: long non-coding RNA, 1303 nt
Organism: Daphnia carinata
Lineage: Eukaryota; Metazoa; Arthropoda; Branchiopoda; Diplostraca; Daphniidae
Exons: 5
Source: RefSeq, a predicted model, not a curated record